RNAcentral lists this ribosomal RNA (717 nucleotides) under Vibrio cholerae. Its description in RNAcentral is "partial 23S ribosomal RNA". It matches the Rfam family "Bacterial large subunit ribosomal RNA", at positions 2236 to 2925 of the family's 2925-position model. The record is from RNAcentral. RNAcentral also lists the same sequence under 1 other name. Lineage: Bacteria; Pseudomonadati; Pseudomonadota; Gammaproteobacteria; Vibrionales; Vibrionaceae.
UUAUCUGGGUUGAGGACAGUGCCUGGUGGGUAGUUUGACUGGGGCGGUCUCCUCCCAAAGAGUAACGGAGGAGCACGAAGGUGGGCUAAUCACGGUUGGACAUCGUGAGGUUAGUGCAAUGGCAUAAGCCCGCUUAACUGCGAGAAUGACGGUUCGAGCAGGUGCGAAAGCAGGUCAUAGUGAUCCGGUGGUUCUGUAUGGAAGGGCCAUCGCUCAACGGAUAAAAGGUACUCCGGGGAUAACAGGCUGAUACCGCCCAAGAGUUCAUAUCGACGGCGGUGUUUGGCACCUCGAUGUCGGCUCAUCACAUCCUGGGGCUGAAGUCGGUCCCAAGGGUAUGGCUGUUCGCCAUUUAAAGUGGUACGCGAGCUGGGUUUAGAACGUCGUGAGACAGUUCGGUCCCUAUCUGCCGUGGGCGUUGGAAGAUUGAAGGGGGCUGCUCCUAGUACGAGAGGACCGGAGUGGACGAACCUCUGGUGUUCGGGUUGUGUCGCCAGACGCAUUGCCCGGUAGCUAAGUUCGGAAUUGAUAAGCGCUGAAAGCAUCUAAGCGCGAAGCGAGCCCUGAGAUGAGUCUUCCCUGACAGUUUAACUGUCCUAAAGGGUUGUUCGAGACUAGAACGUUGAUAGGCAGGGUGUGUAAGCGUUGUGAGGCGUUGAGCUAACCUGUACUAAUUGCCCGUGAGGCUUAACCAUACAACACCCAAGGGGUUUUGUA